This 790-nucleotide ribosomal RNA is filed under the name uncultured bacterium. RNAcentral's name for it is "bacterial SSU rRNA". It matches the Rfam family "Bacterial small subunit ribosomal RNA", at positions 9 to 793 of the family's 1533-position model. The record is from RNAcentral.
GAGUUUGAUCCUGGCUCAGAUUGAACGCUGGCGGCAGGCCUAACACAUGCAAGUCGAGCGGUAACAGAAAGUAGCUUGCUACUUUGCUGACGAGCGGCGGACGGGUGAGUAAUGCUUGGGAACAUGCCUUGAGGUGGGGGACAACAGUUGGAAACGACUGCUAAUACCGCAUAAUGUCUACGGACCAAAGGGGGCUUCGGCUCUCGCCUUUAGAUUGGCCCAAGUGGGAUUAGCUAGUUGGUGAGGUAAUGGCUCACCAAGGCGACGAUCCCUAGCUGGUUUGAGAGGAUGAUCAGCCACACUGGGACUGAGACACGGCCCAGACUCCUACGGGAGGCAGCAGUGGGGAAUAUUGCACAAUGGGCGCAAGCCUGAUGCAGCCAUGCCGCGUGUGUGAAGAAGGCCUUCGGGUUGUAAAGCACUUUCAGUCAGGAGGAAAGGUUAACGGUUAAUACCCGUUAGCUGUGACGUUACUGACAGAAGAAGCACCGGCUAACUCCGUGCCAGCAGCCGCGGUAAUACGGAGGGUGCGAGCGUUAAUCGGAAUUACUGGGCGUAAAGCGUACGCAGGCGGUUUGUUAAGCGAGAUGUGAAAGCCCCGGGCUCAACCUGGGAACUGCAUUUCGAACUGGCAAACUAGAGUGUGAUAGAGGGUGGUAGAAUUUCAGGUGUAGCGGUGAAAUGCGUAGAGAUCUGAAGGAAUACCGAUGGCGAAGGCAGCCACCUGGGUCAACACUGACGCUCAUGUACGAAAGCGUGGGGGAGCAAACGGGAUUAGAUACCCCGGUAG